RNAcentral lists this ribosomal RNA (179 nucleotides) under uncultured bacterium. Its description in RNAcentral is "partial 16S ribosomal RNA". It matches the Rfam family "Bacterial small subunit ribosomal RNA", at positions 329 to 505 of the family's 1533-position model. The record is from RNAcentral.
GACCAGACUCCUACGGGAGGCAGCAGUAAGGAAUAUUGGUCAAUGGGCGGAAGCCUGAACCAGCCAUGCCGCGUGCAGGAAGACGGCCCUACGGGUUGUAAACUGCUUUUGCAGGGGAAUAAACCCCCGAUCGUGAUCGGGGCUGAAUGUACUCUGAGAAUAAGGAUCGGCUAACUCCG